GGGUGAUGACAAACGAUGAUAACUUAAAUCGAUAUAAUGAGGAUUAGGAUUAAGGGUGGUCUGUAUACCUUUCCGAAGUGCAUUUGGAAGAGACAAGUCCGCAGUAGGAGCAGGGUCAGGUGCAGGACGUGAAUCAACCGAGUCAGAUGCUGGGCGAGGACGACGAUGAUAUGUCAAGAGUGGAGUUUCUAUGGCAGGGAGUCUAGGAGGAGCCACACUAGUCUCUCCAACGGUUGGAAUGGGUAAGACUUCUGUAACGGAAGGUGAAGGAGGAGCUAUAGUAGACUCCUUAAAGGCCGGUAUAGGUAACACCUCAGAUAUAUCAAGAUGGUCAGAAUGGUCAUAAGAGGUAAAGAAAGGUUUAGACUCAAAAAUUGUGACAUCGGCUGACAUAAGAUACGAAGAUUAGAGGAGCUAUAGUAGACUCCCUAAAGGUCGGUAUAGGUAAAACCUCGGAUAUAUCAAGAUGGUCAGAAUGGUCAAAAGAGGUAAAGAAAGGUUUAGACUCAAAAAAUGUGACAUCGGCUGACAUAAGGUACCUACGAAGAUCAGGUGAAUAACAACGAUAGCCCUUCUGAG
This 579-nucleotide long non-coding RNA is filed under the name Nicotiana benthamiana. RNAcentral describes it as "long non-coding RNA (NBEN_LNC005351)". The record is from RNAcentral. Lineage: Eukaryota; Viridiplantae; Streptophyta; Magnoliopsida; Solanales; Solanaceae.